RNAcentral lists this ribosomal RNA (253 nucleotides) under uncultured bacterium. RNAcentral's name for it is "partial 16S ribosomal RNA". It matches the Rfam family "Bacterial small subunit ribosomal RNA", at positions 524 to 776 of the family's 1533-position model. The record is from RNAcentral.
GACGAAGGGGGCUAGCGUUGUUCGGAAUUACUGGGCGUAAAGCGCGUGUAGGCGGCUUUGCAAGUCGGAUGUGAAAGCCCACGGCUCAACCGUGGAAGUGCAUCCGAAACUGCAUGGCUCGAGUCUCGGAGAGGAAGGUGGAAUGCUUGGUGUAGAGGUGAAAUUCGUAGAUAUCAAGCAGAACACCUGCGGCGAAGGCGGCCUUCUGGACGAUGACUGACGCUGAGACGCGAAAGCGUGGGGAGCAAACAGG